Molecule: non-coding RNA, 24 nt
Filed under: Arabidopsis thaliana (thale cress)
Lineage: Eukaryota; Viridiplantae; Streptophyta; Magnoliopsida; Brassicales; Brassicaceae
Source: RNAcentral
GAAUUUGCUUGUUGGGCCAACCUU